UUGUUUCAAAGAAGACAAUGCCAUAUCAACUUCUAAUUUCAUGACAUUUACCAUUACAUUACAAUAAAAGAAAGCUAAUAAGAUUGGUCAACUCUACUACUAAUUAGAGAUGUUGCCCCAUAUUCUCUAAUAAACAAUCAACUCUCUAAUUGUGUUUUCUUUUUUUCAUUUAAUUUCUAUACCCAAUAGGGUAUCAUUUCCUUGCUUUUGCAAUUAAAAAACUAUGCUAUUUUAUCUUAAAUUCAUUCGAACAUUCCUCUUUUUCUUGAAAAAUUUCUGAUUUUCCAAGAAGACAACAUGAAAGUGC
This 307-nucleotide unclassified non-coding RNA is filed under the name Hevea brasiliensis (rubber tree). Lineage: Eukaryota; Viridiplantae; Streptophyta; Magnoliopsida; Malpighiales; Euphorbiaceae. The record is from RNAcentral.